CCCUUAGAUGUCCUGGGCCGCACGCGUGCUACACUGACGCAUACAGCGAGCACUUUCCAGUUCCGAGAGGCUACUGGUAAUCAUCAAUAUGCGUCGUGAUGGGGAUAGAUCUUUGGAAUUCUGGAUCUUGAGCGAGGAAUGCCUAGUAAUCGCAGGUCAUUAGCCUGCGAUGAUUAAGUCCCUGCCCUUUGUACACACCGCCCGUCGCUACUACCGAUUUCGAGUGGUCAGGUGAAUCUUUCGGACUGUGGGCGCCCUUGAGGUGUUCGCGGAAAGUCAGGUAAAUCUUAUCACUUAGAGGAAGUAAAAGUCGUAACA
RNAcentral lists this ribosomal RNA (318 nucleotides) under uncultured eukaryote. RNAcentral describes it as "partial 18S ribosomal RNA". It matches the Rfam family "Eukaryotic small subunit ribosomal RNA", at positions 1470 to 1796 of the family's 1831-position model. The record is from RNAcentral.